GACGAACCGUGCGAACGUUGUUCGGAAUCACUGGGCUUAAAGGGCGCGUAGGCGGCUCACCAAGUCGGGGGUGAAAUACUUCAGCUUAACUGGAGAAGUGCCUUCGAUACUGGUGGGCUUGAGGGAGGUAGGGGUCUGUGGAACUUCUGGUGGAGCGGUGAAAUGCGUUGAUAUCAGGAGGAACACCCAUGGCGAAGGCAGCAAACUGGCCGGCAUCUGACGCUGAGGCGCGAAAGCGUGGGUAGCAAACAGG
RNAcentral lists this ribosomal RNA (253 nucleotides) under uncultured bacterium. RNAcentral's name for it is "partial 16S ribosomal RNA". It matches the Rfam family "Bacterial small subunit ribosomal RNA", at positions 524 to 776 of the family's 1533-position model. The record is from RNAcentral.